Molecule: ribosomal RNA, 1248 nt
Filed under: Weissella confusa
Lineage: Bacteria; Bacillati; Bacillota; Bacilli; Lactobacillales; Lactobacillaceae
Description: bacterial SSU rRNA
Rfam family: Bacterial small subunit ribosomal RNA
Source: RNAcentral
AGAGCUUGCUCAGAUAUGACGAUGGACAUUGCAAAGAGUGGCGAACGGGUGAGUAACACGUGGGAAACCUACCUCUUAGCAGGGGAUAACAUUUGGAAACAGAUGCUAAUACCGUAUAACAAUGACAACCGCAUGGUUGUUAUUUAAAAGAUGGUUCUGCUAUCACUAAGAGAUGGUCCCGCGGUGCAUUAGCUAGUUGGUAAGGUAAUGGCUUACCAAGGCGAUGAUGCAUAGCCGAGUUGAGAGACUGAUCGGCCACAAUGGGACUGAGACACGGCCCAUACUCCUACGGGAGGCAGCAGUAGGGAAUCUUCCACAAUGGGCGAAAGCCUGAUGGAGCAACGCCGCGUGUGUGAUGAAGGGUUUCGGCUCGUAAAACACUGUUGUAAGAGAAGAAUGACAUUGAGAGUAACUGUUCAAUGUGUGACGGUAUCUUACCAGAAAGGAACGGCUAAAUACGUGCCAGCAGCCGCGGUAAUACGUAUGUUCCAAGCGUUAUCCGGAUUUAUUGGGCGUAAAGCGAGCGCAGACGGUUAUUUAAGUCUGAAGUGAAAGCCCUCAGCUCAACUGAGGAAUUGCUUUGGAAACUGGAUGACUUGAGUGCAGUAGAGGAAAGUGGAACUCCAUGUGUAGCGGUGAAAUGCGUAGAUAUAUGGAAGAACACCAGUGGCGAAGGCGGCUUUCUGGACUGUAACUGACGUUGAGGCUCGAAAGUGUGGGUAGCAAACAGGAUUAGAUACCCUGGUAGUCCACACCGUAAACGAUGAGUGCUAGGUGUUUGAGGGUUUCCGCCCUUAAGUGCCGCAGCUAACGCAUUAAGCACUCCGCCUGGGGAGUACGACCGCAAGGUUGAAACUCAAAGGAAUUGACGGGGACCCGCACAAGCGGUGGAGCAUGUGGUUUAAUUCGAAGCAACGCGAAGAACCUUACCAGGUCUUGACAUCCCUUGACAACUCCAGAGAUGGAGCGUUCCCUUCGGGGACAAGGUGACAGGUGGUGCAUGGUUGUCGUCAGCUCGUGUCCUGAAAUGUUGGGUUAAGUCCCGCAACGAGCGCCACCCUUAUUACUAGUUGCCACCAUUUAGUUGGGCACCCUAGUGAGACUGCCGGUGACAACCCGAAGAAGAGGUGGGGAAUGACUUCAAACAUCCAGGCCCCUUAUAACCUGGGGUACAACAUGGUUCAAUGGGGUUAUAAACAGAUUGCCACCCCCCGGGGGGGGCUAAUUCUUUAAAAACUCUCCCUUUCC